RNAcentral lists this ribosomal RNA (349 nucleotides) under uncultured bacterium. RNAcentral's name for it is "bacterial SSU rRNA". It matches the Rfam family "Bacterial small subunit ribosomal RNA", at positions 335 to 683 of the family's 1533-position model. The record is from RNAcentral.
ACUCCUACGGGAGGCAGCAGUAGGAAUAUUGGUCAAUGGGCGAGAGCCUGAACCAGCCAUGCCGCGUGCAGGAAGACGGCCUUCUGGGUUGUAAACUGCUUUUUAUCAGGGAACAAAAAGGCCAUGCGUGGCAAAUUGCGUGUACCUGAAGAAUAAGGACCCGGCUAACUCCGUGCCAGCAGCCGCGGUAAUACGGAGGGUCCAAGCGUUGUCCGGAUUUAUUGGGUUUAAAGGGUGCGUAGCGGCCCUAUAAGUCAGUGGUGAAAUCCUUCAGCUCAACUGGAGAACUGCCAUUGAUACUGUAGGCUUGAGUACAGACGAGGUAGGCGGAAUUUAUGGUGUAGCGGUG